GCCUUGCCAGCCCGCUCAGAACUUAAAGGAAUUGACGGGGCCGCACAAGCGGUGGAGCAUGUGGUUUAAUUCGAUGAUACGCGAGGAACCUUACCUGGGCUCAAAUGUAUGUUGACGUAUUCUGAAAGGGAUACUUCUUCGGACAAUAUACAAGGUGCUGCAUGGUUGUCGUCAGCUCGUGCCGUGAGGUGUCGGGUUAAGUCCCAUAACGAGCGCAACCCCUAUCAUUAGUUGCCAUCAGGUUAAGCUGGGGACUCUAAAGGAACUGCCUACGCAAGUAGUGAGGAAGGCGGGGAUGACGUCAAAUCAGCACGGCCCUUACGUCCAGGGCUACACACGUGCUACAAUGGCCGAUACAGAGGGCAGCUACCUGGUGACAGGAUGCAAAUCUCCAAAGUCGGUCUCAGUUCGGAUCGGAGUCUGCAACCCGACUCCGUGAAGUUGGAUUCGCUAGUAAUCGCGCAUCAGCCAUGGCGCGGUGAAUACGUUCCCGGGCCUU
Molecule: ribosomal RNA, 499 nt
Filed under: uncultured Sphingobacteriales bacterium
Lineage: Bacteria; Pseudomonadati; Bacteroidota; Sphingobacteriia; Sphingobacteriales
Description: bacterial SSU rRNA
Rfam family: Bacterial small subunit ribosomal RNA
Source: RNAcentral